Molecule: ribosomal RNA, 213 nt
Filed under: Staphylococcus aureus
Lineage: Bacteria; Bacillati; Bacillota; Bacilli; Caryophanales; Staphylococcaceae
Description: partial 16S ribosomal RNA
Rfam family: Bacterial small subunit ribosomal RNA
Source: RNAcentral
AGCGCGCGUAGGCGGUUUCUUAAGUCUGAUGUGAAAGCCCACGGCUCAACCGUGGAGGGUCAUUGGAAACUGGGAAACUUGAGUGCAGAAGAGGAGAGUGGAAUUCCAUGUGUAGCGGUGAAAUGCGCAGAGAUAUGGAGGAACACCAGUGGCGAAGGCGGCUCUCUGGUCUGUAACUGACGCUGAUGUGCGAAAGCGUGGGGAUCAAACAGG